GAUGAAGAACGUAGUGAAAUGCGAUAAGUAAUGUGAAUUGCAGAAUUCAGUGAAUCAUCGAAUCUUUGAACGCACAUUGCGCCCUUUGGUAUUCCGAAGGGCAUGCCUGUUCGAGCGUCAUUUCACCACUCAAGCCUGGCUUGGUAUUGGGCGCCGCGGUCGAUCCGCGCGCCUCAAAGUCUCCGGCUGAGCUGUCCGUCUCUAAGCGUUGUGAUUUCAUUAAUCGCUUCGGAGUGCGGGCGGCCGCGGCCGUUAAAUCUUUCACAAGGUUGACCUCGGAUCAGGUAGGGAUACCCGCUGAACUUAAGCAUAUCAUAAGCGGAGGA
Molecule: unclassified non-coding RNA, 326 nt
Filed under: soil metagenome
Description: partial contains 5.8S ribosomal RNA, internal transcribed spacer 2, and large subunit ribosomal RNA
Rfam family: 5.8S ribosomal RNA (bases 1-120)
Source: RNAcentral